UGGGGAAUAUUGGACAAUGGGGGGAACCCUGAUCCAGCUAUGCCGCGUGAGUGAAGAAGGCCUUCGGGUUGUAAAGCUCUUUUAUAUAAGAAGAUGAUGACGGUAAUAUAUGAAUAAGCACCGGCAAACUUCGUGCCAGCAGCCGCGGUAAUACGAAGGGUGCUAGCGUUGUUCGGAUUUACUGGGCGUAAAGGGCGCGUAGGCGGCUUUACAUGUCAGUGGUGAAAUCCCAGGGCUCAACCUUGGAAUUGCCGUUGAAACUGUAGAGCUAGUGGUAGCGAGAGGAUGGCGGAAUAUCCAGUGUAGAGGUGAAAUUCGUAGAUAUUGGGUAGAACACCGGUUGCGAAAGCGGCCAUCUGGAGCUAAACAGACGCUGAGGCGCGAAAGCGUGGGGAUCAAACA
This 402-nucleotide ribosomal RNA is filed under the name uncultured Rhodospirillales bacterium. RNAcentral describes it as "partial 16S ribosomal RNA". It matches the Rfam family "Bacterial small subunit ribosomal RNA", at positions 355 to 774 of the family's 1533-position model. Lineage: Bacteria; Pseudomonadati; Pseudomonadota; Alphaproteobacteria; Rhodospirillales. The record is from RNAcentral.